Molecule: ribosomal RNA, 299 nt
Filed under: Methanobacteriota archaeon
Lineage: Archaea; Methanobacteriati; Methanobacteriota
Description: Euryarchaeota archaeon (marine metagenome) partial 16S ribosomal RNA
Rfam family: Archaeal small subunit ribosomal RNA
Source: RNAcentral
AAAUCUGGUUGAUCCUGCCAGAGGCGACCGCUUUUGGAGUUCGAUUAAGCCAUGCGAGUAGAAUGAAUUAGAUCAUUGCAAACUGCUCAGUAACACGUGGAUAACCUGCCCUAUGCUCUGGGAUAACCUCGGGAAACUGAGAAGAAUACCGGAUAGACCACAACGCCUGGAACGGUGUGUGGUUGAAAGGUCACGGCAUAGGAUGGGUCUGCGGCGUAUCAGGUCGUAGGGGGUGUAACGGACCUCCUAGCCAUCGACGCGUACGGGUUGUGGGAGCAAUAGCCCGGAGAUGGAUUCUG